This 253-nucleotide ribosomal RNA is filed under the name uncultured bacterium. RNAcentral's name for it is "partial 16S ribosomal RNA". It matches the Rfam family "Bacterial small subunit ribosomal RNA", at positions 524 to 776 of the family's 1533-position model. The record is from RNAcentral.
UACGGAGGGUGCAAGCGUUAUCCGGAUUCACUGGGUUUAAAGGGUGUGUAGGCGGGCUAUUAAGUCAGUGGUGAAAUCUCCGGGCUCAACCUGGAAACUGCCAUUGAUACUAUUAGUCUUGAAUAUCGUUGAGGUAGGCGGAAUAUGUCAUGUAGCGGUGAAAUGCUUAGAUAUGACAUAGAACACCGAUUGCGAAGGCAGCUUACUAAACGAAGAUUGACGCUGAGGCACGAAAGCGUGGGGAUCAAACAGG